This 2325-nucleotide long non-coding RNA is filed under the name Salmo salar (Atlantic salmon). RNAcentral describes it as "lncRNA (ENSSSAG00000108628.1, ENSSSAG00000111820.1)". The record is from RNAcentral. Lineage: Eukaryota; Metazoa; Chordata; Actinopteri; Salmoniformes; Salmonidae.
CUAGCUUGAACUCUGAGGGUUUAAGAUAUGAGAGGGAGUCCCCCUCAAGGUUUUCCUAAUCUCAGAGGAAUGAAACUGUCGGCUGGGUAAUGAUCUACAGUUUUUAACUUCCCUUUGACAAAAUACAUAACAAUUAUUUUAAGAAUUAUAGAUACAGAACUCCUUUAUGCAAUCGCGGUGUCAGAUUUUAAAAUAGCUUUUCGUCGAAAGCACAUUUUGCAAUAUUCUGAGUACAUAGCCCGGCCAUCACGGCUAGCUAAUUUGACACCCAUGAAGUUUGGCCCUCACCAAACUCAGAUUUACUAUAAGAAAAAUUGGAUUACCUUUGCUGUUCUUCAUCAGAAUGCACUCCCAGGACUUCUACUUCAACAACAAAUGUUGUUUUGGUUCCAAAUAAUCCAUAGUUAUAUCCAAAUAGCUCCAUUUUGUUCGUGUGUUCAAGUCACUAUCCGAAGGGUGACGCGCGAACGCAUUUCGUGACAAAGAAUUUCAAAAUAUUCCAUUACUGUACUUCGAAGCAUGUCAAACGCUGUUUAAAAUUCAUUUUUAUGCUAUUUUUCUCGUAAAAUAGCGAUAAUAUUCCAACCGGGCGACGUUGUAUUCAUUCAAAGGCUGAAAGAAAAAAAAUGGAGAAUUCUCAUGAAUGCGCAUCUCCAGUGUCACUGUUCCCAGCCUGACCACUCACAAAAUCUCCUGCUGUUCUUCUCCCAGAGACAGGAGACACAUCAUUCCACUUUCUGGCGCCUUCUGAGAGCCAAUGGAAGCCUUAGAAAAUGUCACGUUACAGCAGAGAUGCUGUAUUUUCGAUAGAGAUGCAACAGAAGGAUAACAAAUUGUCAGACAGGGCACUUCCUGUAUGGAAUCUUCUUAGGUUUUGGCCUGCCAUAUGAGUUCUGUUAUACUCACAGACACCAUUCAAACAGUUUUAGAAACUUUAGAGUGUUUUCCAUCCAAAUCUACUAAUUAUAUGCAUAUUCUCGUUUCUGGGCAAGAGUAGUAACCAGUUUAAAUCGGGUACGUUUUUUAUCCGGCCGUGCAAAUACUGCCCCCUAGCCCCAACAGGUUAAGGGAUCUGGGCCUUAAUGUUAGUGUGUAUGUGUGUGUGUGUAAAUACGGCGCCUGGUAUAUAAUGAUGUUUCUGUACAAUGAACGGCAGAGCGCUCUCCUGAAUAAACACGUCUGAUUCUUGUAAGCCGGGCCUCCGUCUGUGUUAUUCAACCAGAAUCUUACACAUUCUAGGUGGCAGACUGAGUAUUUUAAUUGAAGUUAACAUUGAGAACAUAAUUCUAAUAUCACUUUCCCUUCUCCUUUCAUUUCCUUUCCUCUUGAUUCAUAUUAUUCCACACCAUAUUGGACAUGUGCUGUCUAUACAUUGACUUUAGAUACACAGGAGAUACACAUUGGGAGAAAUUCUAAAUAAUUUUCUGCUGUGCUAUAAUCCUAGUUUGACAGGUAAUCCUGAGAUUUAUUCCUUUGGUGGAUAAUAUAGGUCCGGACACAUUGCUCUAAUGAGUAUCUAUCCACAAUCAAUGUAUGUGGGCUGUAUAGGGAAUAGUGUGUCAUUUGGGAUGCAGACUCCUCUGUUUCAGUAGUACUGGAUUGUCUAACAAUUAGACAGGAUGGUGUAACAAGGACUGGAUGAGAAGAUGUCAGCCCAGCUCUAGUCCUUAGUUCCCAUAUAUACAGGAGUUGAUAUUUCUCACAUUUUGUACACAAUGUGACGUAGAAGUCCGUCACUGGCCGCGGGCAGAAUUUGGAACUUUAACGCACACAGACAUUCAUCACUCAUCCCUGCUCCGUUAUCAGAUAAAUGUGGGUCGACACAAGUUAACUUCUCUAUCUUAGUACAUGCAUUUCACACUUACGUCAGUAACCGGUUAUGGUAAAAAGAAAUAAACAGACAAGUGUUCAUAUUUAAUAUAAGCAAUAUUUAUUAUACUUAGAUGUUAUGGAUGAGCGCGUUGUUUGUUUGUUCUGUUCCUCUCUCUCUCCAUCUCUGUAGUUUACGGGUAUGCUGGAUAAGGACCCGAGCUAAGGGAAUUGGGUUGACUUUGUAGUGCCUGUCCCGAGUGGCUCAUUAAUGUAAAUGGACAUAUUGAAAGACACUGUCAGUAAUGAUGUAAUUUUGUAAAUGUUAUAUUGUGAUAUUGUUUAAUAAAAAACGUGUUGCAAUGUAUAUACUUUAGUAUGUUUAGUUAAAUGGAAAAUGUAGGUUUGAAUAGGUAAUUGCUUAAUUAAUUAGUGUUAAUUGUUCUGAGGGGAGGGGCUACCCCUACAAAAGGAGCCUCUCUUUCAGUUCAUGGAGAGGCAUUUUGGAUUGAGCUG